GCUCGAGUGGCGAACGGGUGAGUAACACGUGAGUAACCUGCCCUUGACUUUGGGAUAACUUCAGGAAACUGGGGCUAAUACCGGAUAGGAGCUCCUGCUGCAUGGUGGGGGUUGGAAAGUUUCGGCGGUUGGGGAUGGACUCGCGGCUUAUCAGCUUGUUGGUGGGGUAGUGGCUUACCAAGGCUUUGACGGGUAGCCGGCCUGAGAGGGCGACCGGCCACAUUGGGACUGAGAUACGGCCCAG
RNAcentral lists this ribosomal RNA (244 nucleotides) under uncultured Actinomycetales bacterium. RNAcentral describes it as "partial 16S ribosomal RNA". It matches the Rfam family "Bacterial small subunit ribosomal RNA", at positions 89 to 334 of the family's 1533-position model. Lineage: Bacteria; Bacillati; Actinomycetota; Actinomycetes; Actinomycetales. The record is from RNAcentral.